AGUGAACGCUGGCGGUAGGCCUAACACAUGCAAGUCGAACGGCAGCACAGUAAGAGCCUGCUCUUACGGGUGGCGAGUGGCGGACGGGUGAGGAAUACAUCGGAAUCUACUUUUUCGUGGGGGAUAACGUAGGGAAACUUACGCUAAUACCGCAUACGACCUACGGGUGAAAGCAGGGGAUCUUCGCACCUUGCGCGAUUGAAUGAGCCGAUGUCGGAUUAGCUAGUUGGCGGGGUAAAGGCCCACCAAGGCGACGAUCCGUAGCUGGUCUGAGAGGAUGAUCAGCCACACUGGAACUGGGACACGGUCCAGACUCCUACGGGAGGCAGCAGUGGGGAAUAUUGGACAAUGGGCGAAAGCCUGAUCCAGCCAUACCGCGUGGGUGAAGAAGGCCUUCGGGUUGUAAAGCCCUUUUGUUGGGAAAGAAAAGCAGCAGGUUAAUACCCCGCUGUUCUGACGGUACCCAAAGAAUAAGCACCGGCUAACUUCGUG
Molecule: ribosomal RNA, 492 nt
Filed under: uncultured bacterium
Lineage: Bacteria
Description: partial 16S ribosomal RNA
Rfam family: Bacterial small subunit ribosomal RNA
Source: RNAcentral